GAUGAACGCUGGCGGCGUGYUUAACACAUGCAAGUCGAACGGGGAACAAAUUAUUGAAGCUUCGGCAGAUCUAGCUUGUUCCUAGUGGCGGACGGGUGAGUAACGCGKGGGUAACCUGCCUCACACUGGGGGAUAACAGUCAGAAAUGGCUGCUAAUACCGCAUAAGCGCAUAGUACCGCAUGGUACAGUGUGAAAAACUCCGGUGGUGUGAGAUGGACCCGCGUUGGAUUAGCUAGUUGGCAGGGCAGCGGCCUACCAAGGCGACGAUCCAUAGCCGGCCUGAGAGGGUGAACGGCCACAUUGGGACUGAGACACGGCCCAGACUCCUACGGGAGGCAGCAGUGGGGAAUAUUGCACAAUGGGGGAAACCCUGAUGCAGCGACGCCGCGUGAAGGAAGAAGUAUCUCGGUA
RNAcentral lists this ribosomal RNA (412 nucleotides) under uncultured bacterium. Its description in RNAcentral is "bacterial SSU rRNA". It matches the Rfam family "Bacterial small subunit ribosomal RNA", at positions 28 to 423 of the family's 1533-position model. The record is from RNAcentral.